CGCGAUUCCGGCUUCAUCCGACGUCCGAUCGAGGCGAUUUCGGUGGCGUUGGAAAGCUUGUUCCGAGAGCUUUCUUUUGACACCAAUUUUGAAGCAAAUGGAGGUCGGAUGAGUGAGAUAUGGAGGAGAGAAGUUUCGGGUUUUUCAAGCUUUUUCGUCAGAUCUACGACGAUCCGACCGUUGGAUCGACGAUCCGAGACCACAUAUGGACUGAGGAAGAGGAGAGGAACAUGGUGGUAUGAUCAGAUCCGACAAAUGUCGCCGGCGACCGGCGGCCAGCCACCGUGCGCGGUGGUUCCGGCGGUGGCUCCGGUGGGCUAUGGGGAUAAUUCAACUUCCAGAGGCUUCCUCAUAAAUUUUUAGAAUUUUUGAGACACAGAUAAACUUCGGGUGAUCGAGGUCAGCUAUUUUCUGCAUCCAGCAGCCACAAUAGUCAUCGGUGUACUGCCACAGGAGGAGUUAUUUUACAGAACAACCUGUUUUCUUCCUCGCAGGUUUAACGUCAAUUAUUUAAUUGUUUUACUAUCUUUUUCUAAAUUUAAAAUCUAGAACUCCGCAUGUGUUAGAAAUAGUGUGGACCUUGGUAGAGGUUGUGUUAAUUUAAAUUUUUAAGAUUAAUAAAUGAAGAUUUGUAUGGUAUUUAAACAGUUUGUAAGUGAGGUAACAGGGUUGAGCUGGGCUCCCCUGAUUUUAGUUUCUGAAAAUUUGUGGGCUAAGUUGGCCCGAAAUGAAAUUAUAACAGUUUGAUUUAAA
Hevea brasiliensis (rubber tree) is the source of this 753-nucleotide long non-coding RNA. RefSeq lists it as uncharacterized. NCBI's taxonomy places the organism in Eukaryota, Viridiplantae, Streptophyta, Magnoliopsida, Malpighiales, Euphorbiaceae. The record is from RefSeq and is a predicted model, not a curated record. The transcript has 3 exons.